This 492-nucleotide ribosomal RNA is filed under the name uncultured bacterium. RNAcentral describes it as "partial 16S ribosomal RNA". It matches the Rfam family "Bacterial small subunit ribosomal RNA", at positions 29 to 507 of the family's 1533-position model. The record is from RNAcentral.
AGUGAACGCUGGCGGUAGGCCUAACACAUGCAAGUCGAACGGCAGCACAGUAAGAGCUUGCUCUUACGGGUGGCGAGUGGCGGACGGGUGAGGAAUACAUCGGAAUCUACUUUUUCGUGGGGGAUAACGUAGGGAAACUUACGCUAAUACCGCAUACGACCUACGGGUGAAAGCAGGGGAUCUUUGGACCUUGCGCGAUUGAAUGAGCCGAUGUCGGAUUGGCUAGUUGGCGGGGUAAAGGCCCACCAAGGCGACGAUCCGUAGCUGGUCUGAGAGGAUGAUCAGCCACACUGGAACUGAGACACGGUCCAGACUCCUACGGGAGGCAGCAGUGGGGAAUAUUGGACAAAGGGCGCAAGCCUGGUCCAGCCAUACCGCGUGGGUGAAGAAGGCCUUCGGGUUGUAAAGCCCUUUUGUUGGGAAAGAAAAGCAGCAGGUUAAUACCCCGCUGUUCUGACGGUACCCAAAGAAUAAGCACCGGCUAACUUCGUG